UUCUGCCUUAAAUGCCAAGGCUCCUGGCAAGUGACAGAAACCCAACAUUGACUAACUGAAGCUCGCCUAAGUGGGACGACCAAGCCAUCUCACCUUCACAAGUUGAAUGCCCUCAUGGACCACUGAGUGAAUCCAGCGUAUCACCCUAGUCUACACUUUGGCCAUUCUCUUCAAAAUAAGGAGCCUGAUGUUUCACAAAACCAUCUGUUGCCCUCUUCUGUUAUUACAGCUGAAUGCUUCAGAAAUCAUUCUGCACCACUAAAAAUAAAAUCCACGUAGAACCUGAAAGAACCA
This 294-nucleotide long non-coding RNA is filed under the name Homo sapiens (human). Its description in RNAcentral is "HSALNT0324982". Lineage: Eukaryota; Metazoa; Chordata; Mammalia; Primates; Hominidae. The record is from RNAcentral.